Molecule: ribosomal RNA, 373 nt
Filed under: uncultured organism
Description: bacterial SSU rRNA
Rfam family: Bacterial small subunit ribosomal RNA
Source: RNAcentral
CGGAGGAUCCGAGCGUUAUCCGGAAUAACUGGGCGUAAAGAGUUGCGUAGGUGGUUUAUUAAGCGAAUAGUGAAAUCUCAGGGCUCAACCUUGAGGCUAUUAUUCGAACUGAUAAACUUGAGAAUAUGAGAGGUAAGUGGAAUUCCCAGUGUAGGAGUGAAAUCCGUAGAUAUUGGGAGGAACACCAAUGGCGUAGGCAGCUUACUGGCAUAUUUCUGACACUGAGGCACGAAAGCGUGGGGAGCGAACCGGAUUAGAUACCCGGGUAGUCCACGCCGUAAACUAUGGAUGCUAGCUGUUGGACGUAUCGACCCGUUCAGUAGCGAAGCUAACGCGUUAAGCAUCCCGCCUGGGGAGUACGGUCGCAAGAUUA